RNAcentral lists this long non-coding RNA (374 nucleotides) under Trifolium pratense (red clover). RNAcentral describes it as "long non-coding RNA (TPRA_LNC006568)". The record is from RNAcentral. Lineage: Eukaryota; Viridiplantae; Streptophyta; Magnoliopsida; Fabales; Fabaceae.
GAGCUUGAUUUCUCAAGUUGUGUGGAAUCCACCUUCAAAACCUCACUAACAUGAUAUAUCUAUGAAAAUAGUGUUUUUCUAUCUGAUAUUAACUAACUUGAUAUUUUACAAAAUGAUCUGAAAUGCUAUUUAUAGACUUCUGAAAUAGGCUUAUUCGCUACGCGAAUCCGUGUUCGCUAAGCGAAUAAGUUGCUUAGUUGAAGAGGUUUGCUGACACGUGUAUUUAGCUGUGACUCAUCCUUUGCUCGCUAGGUGUUCGCUGCAGCGAGCUUAUUCGCUGCAUGCUCGCUGCGUGUUCGCUAAGUACCUUGGACUCCCUGCCUUCGUUCGCUGUGUGUUCGCUGUGGCUUCGCUGUAGCGAGUUUGUUCGCUGC